GGUUUAUACUGGUCCAUACCGGUUUAUACUGGUCCAUACUGGUUAUACUAGCCCAUACUGGUCCAUACUGGGAAUUCACUGGUUUAUAUUGGUCUGUACCGGUCUGUACUGGUCCGUACUGGUUUAUACUGGUUCAUACUGGUCCAUACUGGUUUAUACUGGUCCGUACUGGUCCAUACUGGUUUGUACUGGUCCAUACCGGUCCAUACUGGUCCGUACUGGUCCAUACUGGUCUGUACUGGUCCAUACUGGUCCGUACUGGUUUAUACUGGUGCAGAUCAUGGACGCCCCGUCAGAGGAAGGUGACGAUGAUGAAGAGCAGCUGGUGGCUCAGGAGCGCCCCCUGCAGGCCGCAGACGCUCCCUCCGAGGCCCGUGAUGAUGAUGGUGACGAUGAUGAUGAUGAGAACUCAUUGGCGCGGGUUCAGGAGCGCAUCCUGCGGAUCAUGAAAAUCCCCUGGGAGGCCGCUGACGAUGAAGGUGACGAGGAUGAGGAUGAGGAGUCGGUGGCGCAGGCUCAGGAGCGGCUCCUGCAGGUUUGUACUGGUUUGUACUGGUCUGUACUGGUCCAUACCAGUCCAUAUUGGUUUAUACUGGUCCAUACUGGUCCAUACCGGUCCGUACUUGUUUAUACCAGUCCAUACUGGUUAUACUGGUCCAUACUGGUUAUACCUUCCAUACUGGUCCAUACUGGUCCGUACUGGUCCAUACUGGUUUUACUGGUCCAUACCGGUCCAUACUGGUCCAUACUGGUUAUACUGGUCCAUACUGGUCUAUACUGGUUUAUACUGGUCCAUACUGGUUUAUACCG
This 810-nucleotide long non-coding RNA is filed under the name Chloebia gouldiae (Gouldian finch). Its description in RNAcentral is "Erythrura gouldiae (Gouldian finch) lncRNA (ENSEGOG00005011078.1)". Lineage: Eukaryota; Metazoa; Chordata; Aves; Passeriformes; Passeridae. The record is from RNAcentral.